GACGAACGCUGGCGGCGUGCUUAACACAUGCAAGUCGAGCGGUAAGGCCCUUUCGGGGGUACACGAGCGGCGAGCGGGUGAGUAACACGUGGGUGACCUGCCCUCAGCUCUGGGAUAAGCCCGGGAAACUGGGUCUAAUACUGGAUAUUACUCUGCGGUGCAUGCCGUGGGGUGGAAAGCCUUGUGCGGCUGGGGAUGGGCCCGCGGCCUAUCAGCUUGUUGGUGGGGUGAUGGCCUACCAAGGCGACGACGGGUAGCCGGCCUGAGAGGGCGACCGGCCACACUGGGACUGAGACACGGCCCAGACUCCUACGGGAGGCAGCAGUGGGGAAUCUUGCGCAAUGGGCGAAAGCCUGACGCAGCGACGCCGCGUGUGGGAUGACGGCCU
RNAcentral lists this ribosomal RNA (388 nucleotides) under uncultured bacterium. RNAcentral's name for it is "bacterial SSU rRNA". It matches the Rfam family "Bacterial small subunit ribosomal RNA", at positions 28 to 417 of the family's 1533-position model. The record is from RNAcentral.